CGUUUUCAACCUUUUUUUCCUAAAUUAUAGAUGUUUCUGGAUCAUAGAAUGUUUGCAUUUUCAACUAGGCAAGGUAUUUCCAAAUUGCUCUCCUAAGUGGUUGUUCCAAUUUACACCUCAACAGAAGAGCUUCCUGGAGUUUCUGGCUGAGAAAUGAUACUGUCCACACAUAUUUUUUAUUCUUCCUUGCUAAUCACUAAAUACCUCUUUUUCUUUUAUCUUAAAUACACAAACUAGAACUUAUAGUAU
Sapajus apella (tufted capuchin) is the source of this 249-nucleotide long non-coding RNA. RefSeq lists it as uncharacterized. The transcript has 2 exons. The record is from RefSeq and is a predicted model, not a curated record. NCBI's taxonomy places the organism in Eukaryota, Metazoa, Chordata, Mammalia, Primates, Cebidae.